Molecule: ribosomal RNA, 959 nt
Filed under: uncultured Tumebacillus sp.
Lineage: Bacteria; Bacillati; Bacillota; Bacilli; Caryophanales; Alicyclobacillaceae
Description: bacterial SSU rRNA
Rfam family: Bacterial small subunit ribosomal RNA
Source: RNAcentral
GUGCCAGCAGCCGCGGUAAUACGUAGGGGGCAAGCGUUGUCCGGAUUCACUGGGCGUAAAGCGCGCGCAGGCGGUGAUGUAAGUCUGAGGUGAAAACCCGAAGCUCAACUUCGGGACUGCCUUGGAUACUGCGUCACUUGAGGAUAGGAGAGGCAAGGGGAAUUCCACGUGUAGCGGUGAAAUGCGUAGAGAUGUGGAGGAACACCUGUGGCGAAGGCGCCUUGCUGGCCUAUUUCUGACGCUGAGGCGCGAAAGCGUGGGGAGCAAACAGGAUUAGAUACCCUGGUAGUCCACGCUGUAAACGAUGAGUGCUAGGUGUAGGUGGGCUCAUACCCAUCUGUGCCGAAGCUAACGCAUUAAGCACUCCGCCUGGGGAGUACGGUCGCAAGACUGAAACUCAAAGGAAUUGACGGGGGCCCGCACAAGCAGUGGAGCAUGUGGUUUAAUUCGAAGCAACGCGAAGAACCUUACCAGGACUUGACAUCCCAUAGACCAGUCUAGAGAUAGACUUUCCCUUCGGGGCUGUGGUGACAGGUGGUGCAUGGUUGUCGUCAGCUCGUGUCGUGAGAUGUUGGGUUAAGUCCCGCAACGAGCGCAACCCUUACUUUGUGUUGCCAGCAUUCAGUUGGGCACUCACAAGGGACUGCCGCCGAUAAGGCGGAGGAAGGUGGGGAUGACGUCAAAUCAUCAUGCCCCUUAUGUCCUGGGCUACACACGUGCUACAAUGGGCGGUACAACGGGAUGCGAAGCCGCGAGGUGGAGCCAAACCCUGAAAACCGUUAGUAGUUCGAAUUGUAGGCUGCAACUCGCCUACAUGAAGCCGGAAUUGCUAGUAAUCGCGGAUCAGCAUGCCGCGGUGAAUCCGUUCCCGGGCCUUGUACACACCGCCCGUCACACCACGAGAAUGGGCAACACCCGAAGUCGGUGAGGUAACCUUUACGGGAGCUAGCCGCCGAAGG